Molecule: ribosomal RNA, 444 nt
Filed under: uncultured bacterium
Lineage: Bacteria
Description: bacterial SSU rRNA
Rfam family: Bacterial small subunit ribosomal RNA
Source: RNAcentral
GCCUACGGGAGGCUGCAGUGGGGAAUCUUAGACAAUGGGGGCAACCCUGAUCUAGCCAUGCCGCGUGAGUGAUGAAGGCCUUAGGGUUGUAAAGCUCUUUCAGCUGGGAAGAUAAUGACGGUACCAGCAGAAGAAGCCCCGGCUAACUCCGUGCCAGCAGCCGCGGUAAUACGGAGGGGGCUAGCGUUGUUCGGAAUUACUGGGCGUAAAGCGCACGUAGGCGGACCGGAAAGUCAGAGGUGAAAUCCCAGGGCUCAACCUUGGAACUGCCUUUGAAACUAUCGGUCUGGAGUUCGAGAGAGGUGAGUGGAAUUCCGAGUGUAGAGGUGAAAUUCGUAGAUAUUCGGAGGAACACCAGUGGCGAAGGCGGCUCACUGGCUCGAUACUGACGCUGAGGUGCGAAAGCGUGGGGAGCAAACAGGAUUAGAUACCCCUGUAGUCACC